RNAcentral lists this long non-coding RNA (405 nucleotides) under Felis catus (domestic cat). Its description in RNAcentral is "lncRNA (ENSFCAG00000053626.1)". The record is from RNAcentral. Lineage: Eukaryota; Metazoa; Chordata; Mammalia; Carnivora; Felidae.
CAGGAGCAGACACGGAAUAACAGUGCGGAGAGGCGUGUGGAUGUGAAAGAGAUUCCUUGGCCCACGCAAGUCCUAGAGAGGAUGCCCUAACCCGCUGCGGAGGGAGCACCCAGCAGCAAAUCCAAGGAGUUGUACCAAUAAUCUAGAAGAUCGGAGUUCUAAAAAAACGCAUCUCUGCGACCCUUCGGAUCAACUGUGGCUAGUGUGCCCCUCCAGGAGGGGCUGGAGGAAGCCCAUAGGGUUGGGAGCCAACACCAGCAGGACGGUGAAACUCCAGCUGUGGCCCGUCUGUCGCUCCUCCCCAGGUCUGCACUCCACCUCGCAGGGAGGUAAUUGCUGGAAACGAAAACGAAGUGAAUCUUUCCAAAUUCUUCUGGAAUCGCUGGUUACGAUGAUUUUCCAGUC